CCCCUUGAAGACGACGAGGUAGAUAGGUUGGGGGUGGAAGUGCAGUAAUGCAUGGAGCUGACCAAUACUAAUCGGUCGAGGGCUUAUCCUA
This 91-nucleotide ribosomal RNA is filed under the name Paenibacillus polymyxa. RNAcentral's name for it is "partial 23S ribosomal RNA". It matches the Rfam family "Bacterial large subunit ribosomal RNA", at positions 2834 to 2925 of the family's 2925-position model. RNAcentral also lists the same sequence under 1 other name. The record is from RNAcentral. Lineage: Bacteria; Bacillati; Bacillota; Bacilli; Caryophanales; Paenibacillaceae.